GACGAACGCUGGCGGCGUGCUUAAUACAUGCAAGUCAAGGAGAACAUUUCCUUCGGGAAAUUAUUAAACUGGCGAACGGGUGAGUAACACGUAGGCAACCUGCCUUGGAGAUUGGGAUAACCCCGGGAAACCGGGACUAAUACCGAAUAAUGCAGCGGCUUCUUCGGAAGAUGUUGUUAAAGCGGGCUUCGGCUCGCACUUCAAGAUGGGCCUGCGUCCGAUUAGCUUGUUGGUAAGGUAACGGCUUACCAAGGCGAUGAUCGGUAGCUGGUCUGAGAGGAUGAUCAGCCACACUGGGAUUGAGAUACGGCCCAGACUCCUACGGGAGGCAGCAGUAGGGAAUUUUGCGCAAUGGACGAAAGUCUGACGCAGCAACGCCGCGUGAUCGAUGAAGCUUCUAGGAGUGUAAAGAUCUGUCGUGAGGGAAGAAAAAUUUGGAUGUAAAUAAUGUUCAAACUUGACGGUACCUUACAAGAAAGCACCGGCUAACUUCGUG
This 496-nucleotide ribosomal RNA is filed under the name uncultured bacterium. RNAcentral describes it as "bacterial SSU rRNA". It matches the Rfam family "Bacterial small subunit ribosomal RNA", at positions 28 to 507 of the family's 1533-position model. The record is from RNAcentral.